RNAcentral lists this ribosomal RNA (253 nucleotides) under uncultured bacterium. RNAcentral's name for it is "partial 16S ribosomal RNA". It matches the Rfam family "Bacterial small subunit ribosomal RNA", at positions 524 to 776 of the family's 1533-position model. The record is from RNAcentral.
UACGGAGGGGGCUAGCGUUGUUCGGAAUUAUUGGGCGUAAAGGGCGCGUAGGCGGCCUGGCAAGUGGAAGGUGAAAUCCCUCGGCUUAACCGAGGAACUGCCCUCCAAACUGCUUGGCUUGAGUCCGGGAGAGGUGAGUGGAAUUCCCAGUGUAGCGGUGAAAUGCGUAGAUAUUGGGAGGAACACCAGUGGCGAAGGCGGCUCACUGGACCGGAACUGACGCUGAGGCGCGAAAGCGUGGGGAGCAAACGGG